This 490-nucleotide ribosomal RNA is filed under the name uncultured bacterium. RNAcentral's name for it is "partial 16S ribosomal RNA". It matches the Rfam family "Bacterial small subunit ribosomal RNA", at positions 30 to 507 of the family's 1533-position model. The record is from RNAcentral.
AUUGAACGCUGGCGGCAGGCCUAACACAUGCAAGUCGAACGGUAACAGGAAACAGCUUGCUGUUUCGCUGACGAGUGGCGGACGGGUGAGUAAUGUCUGGGAAACUGCCUGAUGGAGGGGGAUAACUACUGGAAACGGUAGCUAAUACCGCAUAACGUCGCAAGACCAAAGAGGGGGACCCCCGGGCCUCUUGCCAUCGGAUGUGCCCAGAUGGGAUUAGCUUGUUGGUGGGGUAACGGCUCACCAAGGCGACGAUCCCUAGCUGGUCUGAGAGGAUGAUCAGCCACACUGGAACUGAGACACGGUCCAGACUCCUACGGGAGGCAGCAGUGGGGAAUAUUGCACAAUGGGCGCAAGCCUGAUGCAGCCAUGCCGCGUGUAUGAAGAAGGCCUUCGGGUUGUAAAGUACUUUCAGCGGGGAGGAAGGGAGUAAAGUUAAUACCUUUGCUCAUUGACGUUACCCGCAGAAGAAGCACCGGCUAACUCCGUG